UGAAUACGAGAUGCUACGGCGUCGAAGCAGUCUAUGUCAUACUUCCAAGAAAAGCUUGCACUGUCAUAAACAAAUAAUGCCUGUACCAUAACCGACACAGGUGGGUAGGUAGAGUAUACUAAGGGGCGCGAGAUAACUCUCUCUAAGGAACUCGGCAAAAUGACUCCGUAACUUCGGGAGAAGGAGUGCCUUAUUUAUAAGGUUGCAAUAACAAGAUCCAAGCAACUGUCUACCAAAAACACAGGUCUCCGCUAAGUCGUAAGACGAUGUAUGGGGGCUGACGCCUGCCCAGUGCCAGAAGGUUAAAGAAGUUGGUUAGCAUCCGCGAAGCUGAUAACUGAAGCCCUGGUGAACGGCGGCCGUAACAAUAACGGUCCUAAGGUAGCGAAAUUCCUUGUCGGGUAAGUUCCGACCCGCACGAAAGGCGUAAUGAUUUGGAUACUGUCUCGGAGAGGGGCUCGGUGAAAUAGACUUGUCUGUGAAGAUGCGGACUACCUGCACCAGGACAGAAAGACCCUAUGAAGCUUUACUGUAACCUGAAAUUGAAAUUGGACUUUACUUGCGCAGUAUAGGUGGGAGGCGUUGAGAAUAUUCUUGCGGGAUUAUUGGAGCCAUCAGUGAGAUACCACUCUUGUAAUGUUAGAUUUCUAACUUUGUAUCAUUAUCUGGUCAAAGAACAGUUUCAGGCGGGCAGUUUGACUGGGGCGGUCGCCUCCUAAACGGUAACGGAGGCGCACAAAGGUUUCCUCUGAACGGGUAGAAAUCGUAUCUAGAGUGUAAAGGCAUAAGGAAGCUUGACGGUGAGACCUACAAGUCGAGCAGGGACGAAAGUCGGUCUUAGUGAUCUGACGGUGCUGAGUGGAAAGGCCGUCACUCAACGGAUAAAAGUUACUCUAAGGAUAACAGGCUGAUCUCCCCCAAGAGUUCACAUCGACGGGGAGGUUUGGCACCUCGAUGUCGGCUCAUCGCAUCCUGGGGCGGUAGUACGUCCCAAGGGUUGGGCUGUUCGCCCAUGAAAGCGGUACGCGAGCUGGGUUCAGAACGUCGUGAGACAGUUCGGUCCAUAUCCGGUGUAGGCGUUAGAAUAUUGAGAGGAGCCUUCUUUAGUACGAGAGGACCGAGAAGGACAUACCUCUGGUGUACCAGUUAUCGUGCCAACGGUAAACGCUGGGUAGCUAUGUGUGGAGUGGAUAACCGCUGAAAGCAUCUAAGUGGGAAGCCCACCUCAAGAUAAG
Molecule: ribosomal RNA, 1235 nt
Filed under: metagenome
Description: bacterial LSU rRNA
Rfam family: Bacterial large subunit ribosomal RNA
Source: RNAcentral